AUUACGUGCUGGUUCCUGUGCUAGGAUAUGUUAGCAUUGACUCUUUCUGACCACCCCGCGAGGCUGCCCCUCCAACUUUACAGGUGAAAGCAACUGAAGCUCAGAAAAAUUAAGUAGUUUCCCCAAGGUCACAUAGUUAGUAAUCAGAGGGACUUAAGAAGGACAUGAGUCUGGUCUUCAAGCCCACUCCUCUUUGUUGAGGCCUUAAAUUAUACAACGUGUAGGCAGAUGAGCUGGUCUUGUUCAAAACAUCCCUCCCGCUGGCUGGGGCCCCUCUCUGAGAGAUGCCAGGUGGAUGGCCCUGUCCCUGCAUCUAUCCCUGUCACUCCUGGGCCUGGCUGACCUCUCCCCACAACCUCUUGUCAAGCAGGACUCACAUCUCCAAACCUCUCAUGUGAGACCCAGCCCACGGGGACUAAUUUUCCUGUGGCCCAGAGAAAGCCGGAGAUUUUGCCUUUUUAAAAUAGUAAUUUCCUGCCAGCGCGGGUGGAUACACCAGCCACCCUCUGAUUUAGUGCGGAGCUCAAGGAUCAAUCCCAACUCAGAUUUUCCAAGGAAAAUUCAAAUGUGGGGCACCUCCUGGCAUUGAGGAAGGCAUUGGCCUUCUCUCAAGAGAUGUGUUCAGUGUGGGCAAAGCCAUUGUUGGUGUCACAAGACUCUCAUGCCUCAUACAUGUCACACACAUGCCUUGUACACACCCACAUGCAUCUCAAACAUGCCACCCACAUAGACACACCAUCCACCCGCCUCACCCAUCUCUCUCUCUCACACACACACACACACACACACACGAACACACACACGAGGCAGGGGGUGUCAAGAGCAAGAGAGCUACAUAGUCCCUCUCAGGACAUUACAGCCCCCACUUCCAAGCCUGUUCUGGACUGUGUGCUUUGCCAGGGUGCCUCAUUUCAUCCUUCCUAGGGCCCCAACAGGACAGGUUGCCCCCCACCCCUUUAAAGAGGCAGAAAGUGAGCCUGAGAGAGGCUUGUCCAAGAUCACAGGGCAUGCUCAGACGAAAGUUAGUGGUGGGCACCUGGCUCUGCGAGAUUUCCUUCUUAAUUAGCCCUGCUCCUUGGGGGCAGCUCCGUUGAGUAGAGGCACUCCUCCAAGACACCGCCCCCCUCCUUAUUGGCAGCCCUUCUCCCCUGCCUCCUCCCUCAAUCUCAAGGAAGGAAACCUAGGCACCCUCUCUACCCUAAAGCUGCUCCAUCCGCACCAACUCAGGUCAGGCGAGGAGUGGAGGGUCUGCUCCCUCGCUGGGCACACCUAUAGGCCCACCAGGGUCUGAGGCACUGGCUAAGGCUUAAUGGCUGUCUAAGCAAGACCCUCCACGGGCUCUGCCUGCAACCCCUCACAACCCAGGAUCUCAGUGGGGCCGAGAAGACAGACCCUACUUGGCCCUGGGACAGGACAGGAGGGGCAGGGACCAGCUCUCUCCGUCUUCCUCCACCCUACCCCAAGUCCCACACAGGAGCUCUGGGCCUGGGCUGGAAAUGGAAACUUUCCCACUAGACUGAGAGAGGCCCAACCUGGGGGGCAGACUGGAAGAAGGUGGGAGGCCUGGAAACUACUAAAAGCUUGCGGGUCACAUAGAUUUAGGUUCCCGGGCAGCUCUACCACCUGCUGGCUGUGUGACCUUGGGCAAGGGGCUUUACCUCUUUGAGGCUCAGUGUCCUUAUCUGCAAAGCGAAAGAAAAAUAGCGCCCUCCUAAGGGGGUGAUUGUGAAGGUCAAAGGCAGGGGCGAUGUGCACAGUCUGCGGGGCCUCGAAGUCAGCCAUUAUGCCCCCCAAAGUGAGCAGCGGGUGAGCAGCCACCACUGUGACCUCACCCUGCCCCCGACUCCCAGUUCUGAAAAUUCUUCAUUAGCACCAAAUCCAAACUUUUCCUCAGCAGUGGCAGGACCCAGGCGCGGGUCCUCCUUCCUCCUCCCGCCCCCUCGCGGUCAGACAACAGGUCUACCUGGAGAAAAUGUUGAGCAUUAGAAAGAGCAAAAGCUUCGGAGUCGCCCAGCUGCAGAUCCAAAUCCCAGCUCCCAGCUCCACUGUUCCAUUCAUUCGCUCGCUGGGUAUUUGUUGAACAUCUGCUACAUAGGAGGCACUGUACUUUGUGUUGAGUACAUCAUUGAUUUGGAUGAAAAUCCUUGCUGUCACAGAGCUCACAUCCUAAUGGAACAUUUUAUUUGCUACUUGACCUCAGGCAAGUCAUUGCACCUCUCCAAGCCUCAGUUUAUCCAUCUUUAAAGUGGGACUUGUAACCCCCAACCUUGCAAUGUGGCUGAGAUACAAGCAGGUAAGGGGCCUGAGACAUUCGAUGAAAGGCAUCCCAGGCACCUAGAGCUGGAAGGAACCUCGUUCCAAGAUGAUUCUGCAGCUGUUGCCAAAUGCAGAUGAGACAGGGGCUGCAACAUGGUUCAUCCAAGGCCACUCAGUGAGGUGGGGCAGAGCAAGAAUGGCGGCCCAGGUGCCCUCUCCUGUCCUGCUUCCCUUGAGUCUGAUGCUCUCUGUGUGGUCCAGUCAGGGCUGAGAAGUGAAAGGAAAUAGAGGCUGCCCUUCACCUCCCCUCCAGCUCCUGAAGCUGGAAGCUGCCUCUUCUCCUCUCACAUCACCACCAGGCAAUCAUGGGGAAAGCAUAGCCUGACUACCUUUUGGAAACAGCAGCCUCUAGUGUCUGGGCCAGAACAAGGGCUCAGGAGGAGCCCCAGGCAGCCCAGCUUUUGAGUCGGAUGGAAAUUACUAUUCUCUAAAUAUCAGUUCAGCCACAGUUAUUCAGGGAAGAGGCCCAGCACAGAUUGGGGAGGGUGAGGAGGAUGCGGGGAACAGAAUUAGCUUCUCUGUUGUCAGCCCCUGCAGUUUAGCUCUGACAGCAAACCUGCACAUUUUACUCAGCAAAACCAAGGCCCGAUCCCUGCCUCGCCCUCUUGUUGGCAGUCCAUGCAGUGGACCUGCUCUCAAAGAUCUCACCCUUCCUCAGGCUGCAGGGCCUCACCCAACCACGAUUCCUUUUAACCCACAGAAGACUUUAUGCCGAGGAGUCCUGGAAUAUCUCCUUUUCUCCAUCUUGGGACAUCUGUGGGGCGGUUUUUCCCCCUCUAGAUGGGGGCAUCAAAAACUGCCUUGCUUUCCUGACCUUAACCCAUCUCAGUGCCCAUGGGGUUGCGCUAAACAUCUCCAGAGAAAUGUCUUUAAAUAAACAGAUUUCAUACUUGAGAGGAGACCAGAAAUGUCUAAAACCAUCUCUGUUUACUCUCUCACAUUUGUGAGGUUUGUUUGUUUGUUUGUUUAUUUGUUUGUUUUAAAGCCAAUCAUGGUCUUUUCUUCAAAAACCAUGAAAGAAGAAAGGAUGCUAACAGCUCCAUUUCACAGAUGGCAAAACUGAGGCUGAACAUGGGAAAGUGACUUGUUGGAGGCUCUGUGGUUAAGAAAGAUGUGUAUCUCUCUCUCUCUUUUUUUUUCUCAGACAGAGUUUCACUCUUGUCACCCAGGCUGGAGUGCAGUGGCGUGCUCUCAGCUCACUGCAACCUCCGCCUCCCGGGUUCAAGUGAUUCUCCUCCCUCAGCCUCCCAAGUAGCUGGGAUUACAGGCAUGCAACACCAUGCCUGGCUAAUUUUUUGCAUUUUUAGUAGAGACAGGGUUUCACCUCAUUGGCCAGGCUGGUCUCGAACUCCUGACCUCAGGU
Molecule: long non-coding RNA, 3679 nt
Filed under: Homo sapiens (human)
Lineage: Eukaryota; Metazoa; Chordata; Mammalia; Primates; Hominidae
Description: HSALNT0310504
Source: RNAcentral